This 315-nucleotide small nuclear RNA is filed under the name Castor canadensis (American beaver). RNAcentral describes it as "7SK RNA (ENSCCNG00000007250.1)". It matches the Rfam family "7SK RNA". Rfam says of the family: 7SK was discovered as an abundant small nuclear RNA in the mid-70s but a possible function has only recently been suggested. Lineage: Eukaryota; Metazoa; Chordata; Mammalia; Rodentia; Castoridae. The record is from RNAcentral.
GGAUGUGAGGGCAAUCUGGCUGCGACAUCUGUCACCCCAUUGAUUGCCAGGGUUGAUUCAGCUGAUUUGAUGGCUAGGCGGGUGUCCCCUUCCUCCCUCACCGCUCCAUGUGCGUCCCUCCCGAAGCUGCGGGAAGAGGACGACCAUCCCCGAUAGAGGAGGACCGUUCUUCGGUCAAGGGUAUACGAGUAGCUGCGCUCCCCUGCUAGAACCUCCAAACAAGCUCUCAAGAAGUACACUGACUUACUUGGUUUUGGAUAGAAUUUACAUUCAUAGGGCUAAAUAAUUUGUGGUACAGUCAAUAGAAGUCAAUAU